GCGGAGGCUACUACAACCGUGUUGCUGGAUCUUUUUCUUGAAAAUCACCAUCUCCGUGCUCCAUUACGUGGUGUGUUUCCCCGUAGCAAUUCUGGACAGAAGUUGGCUGGUAUGGAAAACACGCUAUUAAGCCAUCAUCUACAUGUCCUUUCUGCAAUACAAAUCAAAAAAAUUGCUUCAGAACUAGAAUUGCAGAACUGCUGGAUCAGUGAUCCAGAUACUGAACAUGGCUUCAGGGUGGUUUCUGAAUUUUCUGUCUACAAACUACAAACAUUGAAACCUGAUUCCUGGUGGCUGGAUAU
Non-coding RNA from Python bivittatus (Burmese python), 302 nucleotides. The record is from RefSeq and is a predicted model, not a curated record. Lineage: Eukaryota; Metazoa; Chordata; Lepidosauria; Squamata; Pythonidae.